UUUAAGUGUAAUUAAUUAUGGAUUUUAUCCCUUUCACAAGUCAAAUAUAUUAUGCUUGUUUUGCUUUUCCUUAAGAUGAAGUAUUUGCCUUUACUUAGAUUUUACUUCUCUUGAAUAAUAUCCAUUUUCUUUUCUUUAUCUCUCUCUCUUUUUGUUAUUCUCAAGUAAUUUACAUGAAAGAGCAGAAUAAAGAAUUAAUCUUAUGUAUCA
RNAcentral lists this long non-coding RNA (210 nucleotides) under Phoenix dactylifera (date palm). RNAcentral's name for it is "long non-coding RNA (PDAC_LNC022937)". The record is from RNAcentral. Lineage: Eukaryota; Viridiplantae; Streptophyta; Magnoliopsida; Arecales; Arecaceae.